UUGGAGGGCAAGUCUGGUGCCAGCAGCCGCGGUAAUUCCAGCUCCAAUAGCGUAUAUUAAAGUUGUUGCAGUUAAAAAGCUCGUAGUUGAAUUUCGGGAUCAGUAUGUCGGUCGUGCUUUGGUACGUACUGUCAUUACUGGUUUCUCCCUUCUGAAGAACCUUGAUGUCAUUAAUUUGGUGUCUUGGGGAAUCAGGACUGUUACUUUGAAAAAAUUAGAGUGUUUAAAGCAGGCAUACGCUUGAAUACAUUAGCAUGGAAUAAUGAAAUAGGACGUUUGAUUCUAUUUUGUUGGUUUCUAGGAUCGACGUAAUGAUUAAUAGGGAUAGUUGGGGGCAUUAGUAUUCAAUUGUCAGAGGUGAAAUUCUUGGAUUUAUUGAAGACUAACUACUGCGAAAGCAUUUGCCAAGGAUGUUUUCAUUAAUCAAGAACGAAAGUUAGGGGAUCGAAGACGAUCAGAUACCGUCGUAGUCUUAACCAUAAACUAUGCCGACUAGGGAUCGGAUGAUGUUAUUUUUAAUGACUCAUUCGGCGCCUUACGGGAAACCAAAGUGUUUGGGUUC
This 562-nucleotide ribosomal RNA is filed under the name uncultured Glomeromycotina. Its description in RNAcentral is "SSU rRNA". It matches the Rfam family "Eukaryotic small subunit ribosomal RNA", at positions 548 to 1114 of the family's 1831-position model. Lineage: Eukaryota; Fungi; Glomeromycota. The record is from RNAcentral.